RNAcentral lists this ribosomal RNA (513 nucleotides) under uncultured Streptococcus sp. RNAcentral describes it as "bacterial SSU rRNA". It matches the Rfam family "Bacterial small subunit ribosomal RNA", at positions 33 to 524 of the family's 1533-position model. The record is from RNAcentral. Lineage: Bacteria; Bacillati; Bacillota; Bacilli; Lactobacillales; Streptococcaceae.
ACGCUGGCGGCGUGCCUAAUACAUGCAAGUAGAACGCUGAAGGGAGAGCUUGCUCUUCUGGAUGAGUUGCGAACGGGUGAGUAACGCGUAGGUAAACCUGCCCUGGUAGUGGGGGGAUAACUAUUGGAAACGAUAGCUAAUACCGCAUAAUAGUAGAUGUUGCAUGACAUUUGCUUAAAAAGGUGCAAUUGCAUCACUACCAGAUGGACCUGCGUUGUAUUAGCUAGUUGGUGGGUAACGGCUCACCAAGGCGACGAUACAUAGCCGACCUGAGAGGGUGAUCGGCCACACUGGGACUGAGACACGGCCCAGACUCCUACGGGAGGCAGCAGUAGGGAAAUCUUCGGCAAUGGACGGAAGUCUGACCGAGCAACGCCGCGUGAGUGAAGAAGGUUUUCGGAUCGUAAAAGCUCUGUUGUAAGAGAAGAACGAGUGUGAGAGUGGAAAGUUCACACCGUGACGGUAUCUUACCAGAAAGGGACGGCUAACUACGUGCCAGCAGCCGCGGGUAAU